Molecule: transfer RNA, 62 nt
Filed under: Curcuma ecalcarata
Lineage: Eukaryota; Viridiplantae; Streptophyta; Magnoliopsida; Zingiberales; Zingiberaceae
Description: partial tRNA-Phe
Source: RNAcentral
GUCGGGAUAGCUCAUUUGGUAAAGCAAAGGACUGAAAAUCCUCGUGUCACCAGUUCAAAUAA